UACGAGGGUGUAAGCGUUAUUCGGAAUCACUGGGCGUAAAGGGUGUGCAGACGGUUUAUUAAGUUGCUUGUUUAAUUCUUCGGCCUAACCGAAGGCUCGCAAGCAAAACUGGUAGACUUGAGGAUGGAAGAGAGAAGUGGAAUUCUCGGAGUAGCGGUAAAAUGCGUAGAUCUCGAGAGGAACACCAAUGGCGAAGGCAGCUUCUUGGUCCAUUCCUGACGUUCAUACACGAAAGCGUGGGGAGCAAACAGGAUUAGAUA
RNAcentral lists this ribosomal RNA (260 nucleotides) under uncultured bacterium. RNAcentral describes it as "partial 16S ribosomal RNA". It matches the Rfam family "Bacterial small subunit ribosomal RNA", at positions 524 to 784 of the family's 1533-position model. The record is from RNAcentral.